UUUAGAGAGUUUGAUCCUGGCUCAGGGUGAACGCUGGCGGCGCGCUUAAUGCAUGCAAGUCAAACGAGCCUUCGGGCAAGUGGCAGACGGCUGAGUAACGCGUGAGUAACGCACCCUUCGGUGGGGUAUAGCCUCGGGAAACUGAGGGUAAUCCCGCAUACGAUCUUCUCCCCCUGGGGAGAAGAUGAAAGCCUUCGGGCGCCGGAGGAGCGGCUCGCGUCCUAUCAGGUAGUUGGUGAGGUAAUGGCUCACCAAGCCAAUGACGGGUAGCUGGUCUGAGAGGAUGGUCAGCCACAAGGGGACUGAGAACGGCCCCUACACCUACGGGU
Molecule: ribosomal RNA, 329 nt
Filed under: SAR202 cluster bacterium
Lineage: Bacteria; Bacillati; Chloroflexota; Dehalococcoidia
Description: bacterial SSU rRNA
Rfam family: Bacterial small subunit ribosomal RNA
Source: RNAcentral